GCGUAGCUCAGUGGUCAGAACACCUGCUUGGCAUGUAGAAGGUCCCAGGUUCCAUCCCCGCUGGCAGAGGCU
This is a non-coding RNA of Podarcis lilfordi (Lilford's wall lizard), 72 nucleotides long. The record is from the annotation of a GenBank genome assembly. Lineage: Eukaryota; Metazoa; Chordata; Lepidosauria; Squamata; Lacertidae.